CAAAGGUUAAGAACCACUGCCCUAGUGCAGUGGUCCCCAAACCUUGGACCUCCAGAUGUUCUUAGACUUCAACUCCCAGAAAUCCUGGCCAGCAGAGGUGAAGGUGAAGGCUUCUGGGAGCUGUAGUCCAAGAAUAUCUGGAGGCCCAAGGUUGGGGACCACUGCCCUAGUGUAUGUCCCACCUGGGCUGGUACAAUGCUAAAGAGGGAGAGAGAGACCAAUUGCUAGAGUAUCCUUGCAAAAAUUAAUGGCUCAUAUACUUCCUAAAUCUGUAUCUUACCUGUCUUCCAAAAACCUGAUUGUGGGUGGGUAACAAUCACAUUAAAUGGCGUGAACAUCAUUGUGCAGAAAAAAAUAGGUUAAUUACAACAUAAAACAGUUUUUAAAGCAAUUUAAAAUGGUGAUAGUGGGGGAAAAGGACAAAUUGUACCACAAAUCAAUGUGCAGGCAAAUGCCUCAGGGGUAAGGUUUAGCAAAGCUUGCCUUCAGCUUUCCAGAAAUCUUAUUCCAGAAAAUCAGGCUUUGUUUUUUACUUUCCAGUAAGGCUGUUAUUUCCACACCGAGACAUGAACAGACUGUUCUCGGGGCAGAGGAGUUGAUUGAUCCCUUCUAUGUGCCUUCAGAGGUCUAACUGUAUAAAAGGUUGCUGAUCGUAGUCGUCAGCUUGUGCCUUGAUCGUCCUUGUCAGAACUUGUGAAACGGACCAAGAGAUGGAUAAGAUUCUUCUCCUGGGUUUGUCUUUUCUGCUCUGCAGCAUAGUGGCUGAAGGCCUGGUGUGCAAUUUAUGCAGCAUAUCAGAACGUUGUUAUGGAAAUGAAACGAGAACCUGCAUUACCAGGAAGAGGUACCCCUACUGCUUUACCACUGCCGUCUACACAGAAAGCAGGGACUAUGUAUAUUAUGGCUGUGCCGAGUAUAAACCGUGUCUUACCUGGGAAUCCAUUCAAUCAGGAAACAAAACGUACAUUGUGAAAUGCUGCAAGACAGAUUUGUGUAAUGGAUUUCCUGCCCUCCGUGAAGAGGGUCGCCUUCUGGGGUCAUAAAAGGUCGUGGAUUCAUUUCCCAUCUUUUGCAAGUUUCCCCUAAAUAAUGGCUUUAAUUGAUCCAUUUUCACUCAUGAAGAUGGACCUUUUGUGUUGUGUGGAAAAGCUUGGAGUAGAAACAAUAAAAACGGCUUCCUCAAAAAGCA
Molecule: long non-coding RNA, 1189 nt
Filed under: Pogona vitticeps (central bearded dragon)
Lineage: Eukaryota; Metazoa; Chordata; Lepidosauria; Squamata; Agamidae
Description: lncRNA (ENSPVIG00000007739.1)
Source: RNAcentral